CUGCACUGUUCGUAACCUGGUUCAGUCUUUGGUAUGAACUUUGGGUUCCAUUCCAGUGCCAUAGUGAACUCCAGUGAGGCAGGGGAGCAGUGACUUUUUUGUGCUGGCUCCCUGUUCACUCUCUGGGAACACUG
RNAcentral lists this small nucleolar RNA (134 nucleotides) under Betta splendens (Siamese fighting fish). Lineage: Eukaryota; Metazoa; Chordata; Actinopteri; Anabantiformes; Osphronemidae. The record is from RNAcentral.